CCCUUAGACGUUCUGGGCCGCACGCGCGCUACACUGACCAGUGCAACAAGCAUCCGUCCUUGGCCGACAGGCCCGGGCAAUCUUUGAACGCUGGUCGUGAUGGGGAUAGACUUUUGCAAUUUUUGGUCUUCAACGAGGAAUUCCUAGUAAACGCAAGUCAUCAGCUUGCAUUGAUUACGUCCCUGCCCUUUGUACACACCGCCCGUCGCACCUACCGAUUGAAUGGUCCGGUGAAAUCUCGGGACGGCGGCUUGGUCGCUUGCGUCCGACUGCUGAAACUUGAUUAAACCAUAUCAUUUAGAGGAAGGUGAAGUCGUAACA
This 321-nucleotide ribosomal RNA is filed under the name uncultured eukaryote. Its description in RNAcentral is "partial 18S ribosomal RNA". It matches the Rfam family "Eukaryotic small subunit ribosomal RNA", at positions 1470 to 1796 of the family's 1831-position model. The record is from RNAcentral.